CCAGAAAAAUGGCCAGGACCCUCCGCGGCCGACGCUUCAGGGCGCACGGGCCGCCCCGCCUUUAAAUUUAAAAUUUCCCAAACGCUGCAUCUGAUUGAGCCGUGGCCUCGUGACGUCAUGGGCCAUUCCACCUGCGGGGCAGCGCGGGGGACGCAAGGCGGGCGGCGGGACUACAGCUAAACACGAGAGGGGAUUUAAAGGGCCUGGCGGAGAGUCGCAGAAGAGGGUCGGAGGGAGGAGGGGCGCCCGGGAGUCUGCGGAGAGCGGUGGUCCUGGAAUACCAGAAUACUAUAAUCUGCCAAAAGCCAGCAAACAUCAUCCUCCACCCCAUCCUUAAAGAGUUUGGAACCCGUAGACGAAACCAGCAAGUAUGCCAGUACUCUCAGAAACGAUAUUAAGAAUGAAGAAACCAGGAUAAGAGUACACCAAGAUGUGUACAGAGAGACAUUGUAGCUAGUGGAAAGAGAAUUGGAAUAAGAGCAAGAAGAACCCCAACUCUGCCAACAGCUGGUCAUGUGAGUGAGCCCAAAUUACUUGACGUUUUUUACCUGCAAAGUCAUUGGGUUGUCUCAAUUCAUCCUUAAUACCCAUUUUCUGAUAUCAUGAUUUUAGGUUUAAAGUAAUUUAAAUGACCAAUGAAAGUGUUGAGAUUAUGUGUAGCUAAUUAGCUCAGAAUGAUUGAUGCCUAAAAAAUUAAAUGUAGAUUAAAGUUGUGUGUAUAUGUGUUUAUGUAUAUGCAUGUGUAUGUUAGAGAAAGAGUUUAAAAGAAGAAAGCUUAAAGAGGAUGAUUAUUUGUGUAAGAUGCAAUAUGGAAGUAAAACUUGC
This 825-nucleotide long non-coding RNA is filed under the name Papio anubis (olive baboon). Its description in RNAcentral is "lncRNA (ENSPANG00000049559.1)". Lineage: Eukaryota; Metazoa; Chordata; Mammalia; Primates; Cercopithecidae. The record is from RNAcentral.